CCCCUCGCUGCCUGUUGCCACCACGAGAGGUGGGGACGUCAGGCGGGACCGCCGGUGGACAAACCGGAGGAAGGUGGGGACGACGUCAAGUCAUCAUGGCCCUUACUGUCCUGGGCUACACACGUGCUACAAUGGCCGGUACAGAGCGCAGCGAGGCCGCGAGGCGGAGCGAAUCGCUUAAAGCCGGUCCCAGUACGGAUUGGAGUCUGCAACCCGACUCCAUGAAGUUGGAAUCGCUAGUAAUCGCGCAUCAGCAUGGCGCGGUGAAUACGUUCCCGGGCCUU
RNAcentral lists this ribosomal RNA (284 nucleotides) under uncultured Spirochaeta sp. RNAcentral describes it as "partial 16S ribosomal RNA". It matches the Rfam family "Bacterial small subunit ribosomal RNA", at positions 1098 to 1382 of the family's 1533-position model. Lineage: Bacteria; Pseudomonadati; Spirochaetota; Spirochaetia; Spirochaetales; Spirochaetaceae. The record is from RNAcentral.